Molecule: long non-coding RNA, 3460 nt
Filed under: Manihot esculenta (cassava)
Lineage: Eukaryota; Viridiplantae; Streptophyta; Magnoliopsida; Malpighiales; Euphorbiaceae
Description: long non-coding RNA (MESC_LNC007311)
Source: RNAcentral
GUGGAGGCAUCACAAAUUACUAUUCACAUUACAUUGUGGUAAACUGGUAAUUCUGGUUCCAGGAUUGGAUAGUCUUCAUCUCAAACUGCAGCAACAGAAUAUGCAACUUGUGAUACAUGAUUAUCUUCAAAUGUCCUUUCUAUAUUCUUUGGGGGGGGGGGGUAUCUAGGUUUAUUUUGUCCGCAAGUAUGUGUUAUUUGUUUCAUUCAGGCAGCUUUGCUGUUGGUUUUUUUUAUUUCCUCUUUCCAGGAAGGGUAAAAGAGCACACAACUAGUUCAAUGAAGCUUUAAUAAAUAAUACUUGUUAUCUUCAAAAUGUAAACUUAUUUGUUGUAGAAUGUGUAAAGAAUCCUAGUGACAGUUCAAAAUGUAAACUUAUUUAGAAUUUCUUUUUGGAACCUGAUCUUUGGCAUUUGAGAAUUUCUUUUUGGUACCUGUUUCAGGACUUGUUUGGGCUGGUUUGCUUCUGAGCCUGAAUGGUAUGACAUGAACAAUGUGAAUUUUGCACAAAGUGAGGCUCAGUCUGUCUCUCUAUUUGUUCACUAACACUCACAAUGUGAAGUAGACACGUACUUGAUCAAAAGUACCAGUCACAAAAAAGAAGCAAGCAAUGUUUUUUAAGGUUGCAAGAGAAUCUAACCGCUCACUUAGUUCAGCUACGAAAAAGUAAAGACAAGUUUCACAGAUCUAUAUAGGACUAGUCACUUAAACCUCCUUCACCCGAAAAUUCCCAAAAUUGCAUCCUAAGCUAAAACCCCACCGAACAAACAAAGAGGAGAAAAUAAGAAAUGAAUCACACAAUUAAAAAAGCUUGAGUUUAAUUAUUGACUAAUUAUUGACUUAAACUAAUUAUUGACUUAAACCAAUCACCAGAACCCAUUCCUGAUAUCAGCUGAGUUUAACCAAUUUAUCAUGAACCUGAUAGCAUUAUCAAUACAACCAACAUUAGCAUUCUGCAUAAGUUCCCAAAGCUAAAAUGUUUUUACAGACUAAUAAGCGCAUAAAUUAUAUUGUUAAGCAAUUUUUCUUUCCUUUUCUGAUCUAUCAAACAGAUGCUAAGCAAUAAAAUUUUUAACCAAAUGAACCACGAAUCAUAAAUAAUAAAAUAAUUGGAAAGAGAUUACAAUUUCUAUCAGAAGCAACUCAAUUGCAGAGCUGAAAAUUUUAAUAUCAGCAUAUAAUUAGACUUCAACCAAUUGAAAAUGGAAACUAACUACCGAUUUGUGAAAUACAGCCAUCUUUGACCAUUCCAUUCUCUUACACCAAUCCCAAUUCUACCUUUUUCCCUCAAACAACAAAAGAGAAAUUCUCUCUCUCUCAAAAAAAACAAAACAAAACAAAACAAAACAAAAGGGUACUCCAGAAGAAAUUCGCUCUAUCAAAUAAUGAAAUAUAGAACACAUCAAAAGCAAUUGAACUGCAAUACCCAGAAGAAAAAUUUUGCAUAUCAAACAAGAAACUGUAUUUCAAUACUAAAUUCCUUAUAUUGCAGACCAAUCAGAUAGAUUGAAACUACUUCACUAAUCAUUAUAGCACCCAGAUCUUCCCAAUAUCUCUUACUAAAAUCAGACUACUGAGUCCAACAAUGAAGUGAAGAACACGUAAAAUUUAGAAAUCCACUCAAUUAUAUCAAGGGGACCAAAAAAGAAAACGAAAGAAGAAGAAAAGAAAAUCUGGGUAAGUAAGACAUACCAGAGAAAGAGUAGCAAAAGGUCGAGUAGGAUCUUUUCAAGAAAUGGGCACUCAAAAUCGUGGAAAAACAAAAGGUGUCGACAACAGUAGUUGAAGUGAAGGAAAAGAAAAGCCUGAAAAAAACAAAUAAACGAAAAGAAUAAAAGGUGGGUGUGAAAAUAUGGAUUGCCAUGGCCCCAUCACCAACCUUCUACCCUUCCAAAUACACUACACAACAAAUAUCAAAGGUAUAAAAUUAUUAAAUAUGUAUCAUAAAAAUUAAUCAAAGAAUUUUCUUUUUUUUAUUUUUUCCCUUCAAUCAAGACCUCAACCACCAGGAAAGCCAGCAAAGGGAUUGUGAUAUAAAUGAUAAAUUAGAAAAUCAAACCCACAACCAAGAAAUUAAAAAGCUGAACCUCAUUACAAAAAAUUUAAGGUUCAUCGAUUGUAGGCAAAAAAGAGACAGAUAGGGUAACCAGACUCUCCUCUCACACAGGCUACCUUUCCUUCUUCACUUAUUUUUCCUUUGAAUUAGUUCUAAGUUCUAACAAUGGUCUAAUCUUUGCAAGCCAAAAAAUAAAAAAGCAAGGAAUUUGCUGAUAUAGAUGCUAAAAAAAUUAUUUUAUUUAAAAACAAAAGUAUAAACGCUAAGGAAGUAAAAUAUAAAAAGCAAAAUUUCCUCUCAAAACAGAAAGAAAAACACAGAUACAUGUAAUGAACAAUCACCCAGAAAAGGGAAGGGAAAAUAAAAUUUACUGUACCAGUAACACCCAAUAAUUUUAACAAUAAUUAGAAUAAAACUCAGAAAAAUAAAUAAACAAAAACAAGAUAACCAGAUCAACGAGUAGUAAAAGAUCUGGGUUGGAGGCAAAAUCCUCAUUGAUUUUUACUCCCAAAAAGAGGGGGGAGGGGGGGAUAGCAAACCAGCCCAAAAAGAAACAAACCCGUGACAAAGAUCUUCCUCCAUGUGAUCAAACACGCUCAUUAUAUCCAAACAAAAGAAGUUUAUGCAUAAAAAAAAAGUUAAUAUAUAGAGCAAGAACACUAACACAGAGAAGCAGACACGUACUUGAUCAAAAGUACCAGUCACAGAAAAGAAGCAAGCAAUGUUUUUUAAGGUUGCAAGAGAAUCUAACCGCUCACUUAGUUCAGCUACGAAAAAGCAAAGACAAGUUUCACAGAUCUAUAUAGGACUAGUCACUUAAACCUCCUUCACCCGAAAAUUCCCAAAAUUGCAUCCUAAGCUAAAACCCCACCGAACAAACAAAGAGGGGAAAAAUAAGAAAUGAAUCACACAAUUAAAAAAGCUUGAAAUAAAUAAACAAAUGAAAAUUGAGGAGAAGCCAUAAACAGAUAAUAGAGGAGAAACUGAACAAAGCGAAGACAGAGACAAAAACUGAGCAAACCUGAAGAGAGUUCCAGUCAAAGGAAAUGUCGCCGGUGCCGACUGGGGAGAGAGAAGGAGAUGUCGCCGAUGCCAACCGGGGAGAGGGAAGAGUUGUCUUCGACUGGGAAGUGGGAGAUGUCACCACUGGAGAGAGAGAAGGAGAUAUCGGCAGAGAGAAGAUUUAUCGUCGACUGGGUAGAGAUAGGAGAUGUCGCCAGUGCCGACUGGGCUGCCGGCACUCUUCAGUGAAGUGGGGGGAGAGAGGCGUUGACUGGGACUUAUGGGAAGGGAAUCGGGGGAGAGAGGUGCCGACAGAGAGAGGGAAGUGUGACUCUAGCAAAAUGGAAAAAUAAAUGAGGGGAUUAGGGUUAGUUUUGUUAGUAUAGCUAAUUAGGGAUUAGGG